AUGGAGGUGCAGGCCCAAGUACUUCGAAUCAUCAACAAGAAAUCCAAGAAAGAACAGCGAAGGAAAAACGUGACAAGAAAAGUGUUUUCUCGACUCGAGAUGUUAGAAGGUGAUAAAUCAAUAGGUGCUGGAGCUGCUGUCGGUAUUGGAAAUGUCCUCAAUUCUUUGAUUCAUUCCGUGGCGCGAAAUCCAUCAUUGGCUAAACAAUCAUUUGGUUAUGCCAUUUAG
This 228-nucleotide ribosomal RNA is filed under the name Triticum aestivum (bread wheat). RNAcentral's name for it is "partial small subunit ribosomal RNA". Lineage: Eukaryota; Viridiplantae; Streptophyta; Magnoliopsida; Poales; Poaceae. The record is from RNAcentral.